ACGGCGGAACCACCAGCUCCCUCUGGUCUGUGCGGAGCAGCUGCCUCUCAACACAGUCGCUCCACUGGGCCCAGCAGCGCCCUGAGAGAGAGAGGUGGGUCAACACAGUAAUCCACCCAGGAACCUUGAACUUGACACAUGCAGGUACCUUCUGGUUUGGGGUUUCUAGAAGAAAUGGGUCAUUGUUAAGAAAAUUGGCUCCAAAUAGAGAUUUUGAUUUAUUUUUUUCCAGUUCACUUUCAGGUUGCAGGAAUGGUGCUACAGAAAGAUGCUUCUGGGAAAAGGACCCUUGCUUCACCCAAACUCUAAGCAAACCUGCAGGGUUUGUUGGCUUGUUUUGCAUCAGUGACUUGCACUGAUAGUGCCUCUUCUGGUUGCCUGCCUUUAAGGCCACUGCUCUUCACACCUCCCAUUUCCAUGGAAUUCACCAUCUCUGGCACAUACAAGGCACACAAAAUGUUAAGCAUGAAUAAUCCUGGUGUGAAGGUUAAGAACAGCAAAAGCUGACUGCUGUCCAUUGCUUCAUGAUGAGAUAAGAUGGUUGAGAACUCUAAGACUACCUACCACAUGCCCACUGGAAGCAAGAAGCAGCUGGACAGUGAGACACCCUCCACAGUUGGCACCCCACCUUCCUCCCCAGAACAGUCUGUGCAAGAGAUGGCCACAGUGUAAGGUGUGGAGUGGGAUGGAUCACCAGGUGGUUCUUGGAGACUGGAAGGAGCUGUGAACACAGUGGGGAUGGAUGUCAAACAUUGGUGGUGUUUAUAAGGUCACCAAAGGGCAGAGUCAUAGCAUCUGCCCGUCUCUGGAAAUAAUUUAGGGACACAUAGCAAACAUUCAGGUCAUAGGAAACAGGUCAGAAGCAAAACCGUCAUGGUUGCCACUGGCCCAGAGAUACUGCUUUUGCAGGGCAUGGACUGCAGUUUCCCGAAACACAUUCUCCUCUAGAAAUGAUGGAAGAGAUCCAAGUGCGCCUGCUCACGUCCAGUGAUUCUCCAUGGGGGUGAUUCUGCUCUCUAGGGCGCAGUUGGCAGUGACUGGAGACAUUUGUAGUGGGUCCAGGCCAGGGAUUCUGCUAAACAUCCCGUGACGCACAGGACUGUCCCAACAACAAAGAAUUAUCUGGUUCCAAA
This is a non-coding RNA of Odocoileus virginianus texanus, 1133 nucleotides long. NCBI's taxonomy places the organism in Eukaryota, Metazoa, Chordata, Mammalia, Artiodactyla, Cervidae. The record is from RefSeq and is a predicted model, not a curated record.